GACGAACGCUGGCGGCGUGCCUAACACAUGCAAGUCGAACGGAGAUACGAUUUCGGUUGUAUCUUAGUGGCGAACGGGUGAGUAACGCGUGAACAACCUGACUCUAAGAGGGGGAUAACACGCGGAAACGGGUGCUAAUACCGCAUAAGACCACGACCCGGCAUCGGGAUGAGGUCAAAGGAGCAAUCCGCUGAGAGAGGGAUUCGCGUCCCAUUAAAUAGAUGGCGGGGCAACGGCCCACCAUGUCAACGAUGGGUAGCCGAGCUGGGAGGCUGAUCUGCCACACUGGAACUGAGACACGGUCCAGACUCCUACGGGAGGCAGCAGUGGGGAAUAUUGGACAAUGGGCGCAAGCCUGAUCCAGCCAUACCGCGUGGGUGAAGAAGGCCUUCGGGUUGUAAAGCCCUUUUGUUGGGAAAGAAAUCCAGCUGGUUAAUACCCGGUUGGGAUGACGGUACCCAAAGAAUAAGCACCGGCUAAC
RNAcentral lists this ribosomal RNA (481 nucleotides) under uncultured bacterium. RNAcentral describes it as "partial 16S ribosomal RNA". It matches the Rfam family "Bacterial small subunit ribosomal RNA", at positions 28 to 501 of the family's 1533-position model. The record is from RNAcentral.